Molecule: long non-coding RNA, 705 nt
Organism: Cygnus olor (mute swan)
Lineage: Eukaryota; Metazoa; Chordata; Aves; Anseriformes; Anatidae
Exons: 3
Source: RefSeq, a predicted model, not a curated record
GGAGCGGUUUCGGUUUUCGUGCCCGGGGAGCUGGGGCUGGAUUCGGCCUCACUCCGGAUUGCUCGGCUCCGAAAGGCGCUGCGCUCCUCGCUCCGCAAGGCUCCGGGCCGGGGUUUUAGGGAGUUUUAAUAAGAACGUUAUCUUUCUCUAUACAUUACUGAAAUCCCAAGUGGGGGAGGGAUUUAUUGUAUAACCUGGCCGGCAGAUCCGAGGCUUUGAGUGUAAAAAGAUGUGAGGAGAAAUGGCGUGUGCGAACAGCUCUGAAAAUGGCUCAAGGUGUAUAGACGAAAGGAAGCAAACCCUCUACCAUCCAGGUAUGGUGUUACUUUGGGUGCCUUCGUGACCCCUAGUAGGAGACAGCAGACAGGUCGCCCAAGGAUCUAUAUGCUUACAGAAAGGAGCUCCAAAAGUUAAGUAUUUUUGUUAUGGCCUUCGCUGCUUGAAUACCCAGCUUCUCUGUGCUCUCCUAUGGAAAAUGGACCAGAGGCUAGAUGCUGUAAGUAUUCCUCCAAGGAGUGAGUGCUCCCAAGGCAGUGAGAGCUGCUCCGGGCAGCUCCAGGGCCACGUCUCCGUCUCUUCCCACAGGAAAUGAUCAGUGGAGAGAGCCCCGUUCCCGUUUCCACCACAUUUCCAUGUGAAACCCUGAUAGUGAAAACACCGUAACCAAGGGUCGCUGGUCACAACAUUUCCAAGUGCUCGUGCAAA